RNAcentral lists this long non-coding RNA (986 nucleotides) under Mytilus galloprovincialis (Mediterranean mussel). Lineage: Eukaryota; Metazoa; Mollusca; Bivalvia; Mytilida; Mytilidae. The record is from RNAcentral.
GUAAACUUUAUUUUCCAAUAAAUAGAAUUUGAACAUGAUUAUGAUAGUAUAUAUACAGUGUAUGAUACAUCAAAUUGCCCUCAAUGUUUAAAGGUUAACAAAAAACAAGCACUACUAAUAUAAACUACAUCAACAUUUUAGCCAAAAUCAAUGAAGUAAAUAUUAUGAAAAAAAACCCAAUAUUUUUCUUCUUAAAUUUUAAAAGUCACUAAAAAAAUUUGAUUUAGAAUAAAUAUAAUUUAGCCCAAUCCCAGGGAGAUGUUUGAGUACAUGAAAAUCUUAUAAUUAGUUUACUGUGACUGAACGAACAUAGGUAUAACAGAUUUUGGAAAGAUUAUCCUUUAAAGUUGCUAAAUGCUUUCUUUUAAUACCAUAGGGACAAGAUAUUCAUGUAUUAGGUGCACAAAAUUGUCAAGACACAUGUAAAGGGGGAAAAUUAGAGUUUCCUAUAUAUGUGAACUAAUAAUCAGUCUGUUAAAUGAAUUAAUAUAUUGGUGUAGCAAUUAACCACACACACUGCUCCAACUAGUCAGUCCAAAUUUGAGAGGUUUUGAUUCAGUAACUUUCACAUUAACAAGUAUACUUUUUGCUUUAAACAGAUAUUAAUUAAGUCAUUUGUAUUUUAAUACCUUUAUACCAUUAUUUAAACAUAGAAAGACAAAAAACUAAAAUUGAAAGACAUUUCAUGAAGUAUUAAACCAGAAACAAACCUGGACAAAUCAAAACUUUAAUUUUUAUGCCAAACUAAAUCAGAUGACAUGACCCAUUUAUAUUGAAAAAAAAUCAUGAAUUAACUAGGGACAAACAUGGACAAAUCAGAAGUUUAAUUUUUACACCAAACUUAAUCAGAUGAACUCCUUUAUAAUUUCUUGGACUGUAUUUGAAGCAGAAUCAUGGUUUAUUACUUAAAAUUAAUCAUCCUAUUCUUACAAAUGAACAACAUGCAGUUGUACAACAGACAUAAACCAUGUACUAAAAUGACAAAA